Molecule: ribosomal RNA, 253 nt
Filed under: uncultured bacterium
Lineage: Bacteria
Description: partial 16S ribosomal RNA
Rfam family: Bacterial small subunit ribosomal RNA
Source: RNAcentral
UACGUAGGGGGCUAGCGUUGUUCGGAAUUACUGGGCGUAAAGCGUGCGCAGGCGGCUUUCCAAGUCAGUGGUGAAGGCCCGGAGCUCAACUCCGGAAAUGCCAUUGAAACUGUGAAGCUUGAGAACGAGAGAGGUGAGUGGAAUUCCCAGUGUAGAGGUGAAAUUCGUAGAUAUUGGGAAGAACACCAGUGGCGAAGGCGGCUCGCUGGCACGUAACUGACGCUCAGGCACGACAGCGUGGGGAUCAAACAGG